GACGAACGCUGGCGGCGUGCUUAACACAUGCAAGUCGAACGGAAAGGCCCUGCUUGCAGGGUACUCGAGUGGCGAACGGGUGAGUAACACGUGGGUGAUCUGCCCUGCACUUCGGGAUAAGCCUGGGAAACUGGGUCUAAUACCGGAUAGGAGCCAUUUUUAGUGUGAUGGUUGGAAAGUUUUUUCGGUGUAGGAUGAGCUCGCGGCCUAUCAGCUUGUUGGUGGGGUAAUGGCCUACCAAGGCGGCGACGGGUAGCCGGCCUGGGAGGGUGGACGGCCACAUUGGGGCUGAGAUACGGGCCAGACUCCCACGGGGGGCAGCAGUGGGGAAAAUUGGACAAUGGGCGCAAGCCUGAUGCAGCGACGCCGCGUGGGGGAUGACCGCCUUCGGGUUGGAAACUCCUUUCGCUAGGGACGAAGCUUUUUGUGACGGUACCUAGAUAAGAAGCACCGGCUAACUACGUG
This 465-nucleotide ribosomal RNA is filed under the name uncultured bacterium. Its description in RNAcentral is "partial 16S ribosomal RNA". It matches the Rfam family "Bacterial small subunit ribosomal RNA", at positions 28 to 507 of the family's 1533-position model. The record is from RNAcentral.